Long non-coding RNA from Xenia sp. Carnegie-2017, 850 nucleotides. RefSeq lists it as uncharacterized. The transcript is spliced from 5 exons. NCBI's taxonomy places the organism in Eukaryota, Metazoa, Cnidaria, Anthozoa, Malacalcyonacea, Xeniidae. The record is from RefSeq and is a predicted model, not a curated record.
CAACCAAUGAAAUCGAUCGGAACCAAAUGAUCUUAAUAAACGUCAAUCACUUUACACAACGGUAGAUGCCCUCAAGACUCGAAAGUGAAAGGAAGCAAAGGCUUCUCUGAACGAAACAAUAAAAAUAACCUUGCCAAAUGGGAAUGAAAUCGAAGGCAUUGCAUGGAAGACAACACCAUUUGAUGUUGCUCUAUCAAUAAGUCAAGGUUUGGCAGACAAUGCUGUCAUUGCUAAGGUGAAUGGCGAGGUUUUUGAUCUAGAUAGACUAUUAGAGAAUGAUUCCAACCUGGAACUUUUAAAAUUUGAUGACAAAGAAGCUCAACAGGUAUUUUGGCAUUCAAGUGCUCAUAUAAUGGGUGAAGCGAUGGAACGCCAUUAUGGUGGUCUGCUGUGUUACGGUCCUCCCAUUGAAGAAGGAUUUUAUUAUGAUAUGUUUUUAGAUGAAAAGUAAGCAUACACUUUAACCAUUCGAUAAUGCUCAAUAUAUAACAUAAUUUCUCCAUCAUCAUUUUGUUGUGUAUUCAAGACUCAAGUUGAAUUGAACUACAUAGAAAAAUUUACAAUCAAUAUUUUGACUUGAUCAAGACAAAAAUUAACGCUUUGCAAAUUACGAAGCAAUUUCAUUAACCUUUCUUGAUGAUUAAUGAUAAAUUUGCUACCAGAAAACAUUUCUUCUUACAUUGCUAUGAAGGCUGUGUUCCCAUUAUGCUUUGUGACCACCCCUUUUAUGUGAAAAUAUGCCAACAGAUCAUUUUAAUCGGACCUUGCUUGAAUAGUUUCAGAGUAAAUAUUACUGUCAAUUGUAUACGCUAUGAAACAUAGCAUUUUCAAUCAAAGUUAAAAACACAAA